CGCCGCCCCGAGAAAAUCGUCUCCCUCGGGUGAGGAGGAGGCGGCGAGGGUUUGGGCCUCCUGGUCCGACCUCGACGGCGCCGACGAGCUCGCGCCCAAGAUUCCUUUCCUCAACGGCGCAGGUGAGCUUCUUCCUGCCCACUCCCUCUCCUUCUCUCUCUCUCUCUCUUGUUAUUUUCUAGUGGAUCUGCUUGGGGAGAGAGAGAUAGAGGGGACUGUGUCUCGUUGAUUCUUUUGAUGAAUUCCAAGGGAGAGAGGUCUGCAUGCCAUUUCUUGUUUAGCCGAUGACUUCGCCCACUUCCUCCAAGUUUUUCUCUUUUUUUGAGAGAGAAGUUUUUCUUUUAUUAAGCACAGUUCAGUUGUACUAUUGUCAAGUAUCUUAGUUUCUUGACAUCUUACCAUUUUGUAAACAAGUUCUCGAUCGGCUUUUGGUAGUAAAUUUUGCUACUUUGUUUUGUCAGGUCGUAAAUUUUGUGCUCAGCCAAGCAACAAGGCACAAGGUGGUUAUAUCCAUACUGUCAUUGUGCUUGUGCAGAAAAAAAAGGAAGUCCGUACGUGUAGGGAAUCAUUGAUAUGUAAGGAUUUCUAAACUUAUCUGCUCUAUGUUUGCUAGCUCAGUGCACAUUUUGGAGAACGUGGAUACAAGAGACUGUAGCUGACUUUUCUUUGGGUGAGACUAAAUGAGAUGCAUUCUGAAAAAUGUGUGUGAACUGCAGACAGAUUUUCGGAGUGUGCAUAAUGAGCUCAUGCUCCAUAUAGUACUUGCUUACCAGCCUAAACUUCUCCAUUUAGCCUCGCGCAUUAGUCAUUUGGAGCGUGAUAAAUUCUUCCAUUAUCUUCGAGUUCUUUAAUUUGUACUGAUUACUUAUCCAAGGUUCACUAACUGUUCUUUGAUGUUCAUGCGUUCCAGCUGCAACGGGUACAAAAAGGGUCAUGCAUGGGUGAGCUAGACAAACAACGUGGAUCCCUAUUUCUGUUGAGGUACUAAAUUCCUGAAUCAAGAAAACUCAGUUACCUAAACAGUUGGUUCUUCUGUUCUGUUCCGUGUGCGCGUGAUAACACACUACAAUGUUACAGUACGUGCUAUAUUUUAAAAGUAAAAUUUUGAACUGCAUGUUCUGUGACAAUGAUGUGAUGCUUCCAAGCAAAGUGGCCAGUUAAUUAGAAUGUAGUGCCCUGUUGUUCCUUAUCUGGAUGCUUUUUUCGUGCUUAAUUACUUGCUGGAAAGUACGUAAGUAACAUGUUUGCUAGGUUGUUCCUUUCCACUGUUUUGGACAUGUUCGGAUGCUUGUGAUCUUUUUUGAUAGAUUUGGGACUAGCUAGAAACCAAGAAAAGUACAGGAGAUUGGUGUUGUUACAGGCUGAAAGGCAAACUUUUUUAUCCUUUAGAUUACAAUUUGUACCUUCAGUUAAUUGCAGGAACAUGUUUUAAUUUUUUUAGGGCUUGAAUAUCAGUUAGAGGCAAAUGUGUUUAGGACUUGCAUUUCUGCUAGUGUCCAGUCCUAGAAAAAAAAUUCCUAUCAGGGCGUAUUAUUUUCUUAUACAUCCUUUAUUUUUUUUGUUAUGCAUACUUUGCCUUUUUAAGUCAUUAAAAGGCGUUCUUGAUAAGCCUAAGGGCAUUGUGUAGGGUGUAACAUACCAUCCCUGUGAGUGACUACUAAUAAUGUGAAAUGCUUAUUACUGUUUGUAUGAUGCUAUUUAUUUGUCUGUGCUAUCCUUUAUUUCCUUUUUGUCUUUAUUUAAGAAGUUCCUUUCCCACUUCCUAUCGUGUCUGUCUACAUUAGGCAUACAUGCCACAGAUCCUACUGAUGUUUUCUUGCCGUUUCGAUUUUAGAAUGUGUUGGGUGGCUCAUGCUGCUGUGUGUUCUUUAUUUGCUAUCGGAUCUAAGGAUAAUAGGGGCUCUACCUCACAUAUGACACACCAUCUCAGGUGAUAAUGCCUCUAAAGAGGAAGGAGAUCAUGUGUGCCAAAAAUUAUUCAGUUGAGGUAGGCACAUCAUACUAAUUUGCGAAUUAUGGUCAGCAUUUCUCUGAAUUGCUAAGGUCCCUAAACUAUCCUGCUUUUUCAUUCAAUAUGCAAACGCCAGUAGGUCAAGACAGUUAACAUAUCCUUAAAGGAAUUAGACACUUUUCUAGGGAAAAGUGUCCGGUAUAAGAAAUACUUUUAAUACAGCAGUGGGGAAAAUGCUUCUGAAUGUUUCUGGUCAUAUUUCAAGAAAACAAAUUCCUGCUAGAUUUUGCAAUUCAUCCUAUGUUCAUCUGAUUUAGCUUGGACCCCAGAGCUGUAUUGUUUGGGGGUAGUUUGUGCACAGAACAAUGCAGCAGGCCGAACUGUCAGCACAGCUAGCCCAAAAAAAAAACUGUUUUAUCAGUAACCAUGUGAUUUCAUAGAUAAAGGAACAGUACAAAGUACAAACACCAAGAGGGACCGAACCCUGGUUGUGUUUGCAUUUGUCCAGACAGGUCGAUCGUUCGGUGGCUGUGUGGUGGCCUGUUGUGCUUCGGUCCCUCUGUUCGGUCACUGUCGACUCCUUUGGAGUUUUUUCGCGCGUUGCUGUUCUAUGUGUUCAUAGGCUAGGGUUUUCUACUGCCGUUGUCCUCCCUGGCUGCUGCUCUUUCACGGUCGUUCCUUGCACCUUGGCAACGUUCUAGGCUUUCGGGUGUUGCCUGGUGAGGGGUUUGCAACUGUAUGCAGUUUUGCGUGCGGGUUUGGCCACCGGUAGUGGUAGUGGAUGGUGUGGGUUUCAAUUUCCUCGCCUUCUAUUCUUCGGUCUGUGCUGCCCACGCGUGCGUGAAACAUUCUUGGUGAGUGGUUUUCGGUUACCUGUGCUUUGUUUUAAGUGUAAUUUUUCUCCUGAUUUCAGACCGGUACGAUAUGUGUGCAUUUGGGUGGCCAGAUUAGGGUUUGUGUAACUGAUUUUGCGGUGCUAUGGUCGUCGGCUGGUGAUGUUGUGUGUUGGCUGUGAGAGUGUGGUUGUUGCUCCUUAUUUGUUUGGGUGAGGUGUUGGAGGCAUGAAGCAUCCUGAAUUUCUUCGUCCACUCAUUAUGGUCAUGAAGUAUAGUAACCAGAGAAGCCACAAUACUUCAAUCAGGCACAGCACCCCGUUGACCCUUUGGCCUGAACAUCAAAAACCACUAUCCGAUGAUCUAGCUCAUUUUUUGUAUCAUACAUAUAAAGCCACCUAAAAUCGUAUGGGAAGUCGUGGCUAUAGCUGGGCACACCGUUGCAUAAAGUAUGCAUCCAUAUUCCAUAGUGGGUGUUGUUGGUUUGCCCAUAUUAAUUGCACUUGAUUAGGUUUUCUUCUUCUUUUCCUUAGAAAGGCUGUGGCAUAGAAAGUGUGUUUGCGAGCUUCAUCAAUGUUGCUGUGCUAAAACACACACAAAAUUGGCCAUCAAAGCAGUGAUGAUGGUGAUAGCAUCACAUGGAAUUUCCAGAAUAUAAUCUCGUCACAUAGAAAUGUCUCGCAUGAGCUGCAUUUCCGUCCAUCUGUUUUUCAUUUUGAUUUAGCUGCAUUUUCUUCCUCUUAUUUCUUUUUACCUCCAAUGUUCUAUUCCACACUGUUGGAGAAGAGACAUGUGAAUCAUUGACCUCAAAGAUUGCUAAGCUACAGGGUCUAGGAAUGAUAUUAAAUUUCAAAAAAGACAUGUAUUGUAGAGUAGCUUAGUUCAUUAACUUCUCUAGGAUAAAUUUUGAUAUCUCAAAAGAUAUCUCUGUCAGUUUAUACACUAUAUGCUGACGUUGCAAGAAAAGAAAAAUACUGUGUUCUCUAAGAGCUUUCGCUCGACCUAGCUCUUUACGCACAUUUAGGCAGUUUAAACAAUUGCUAUUGGCCUGUUGGAGCUCAAAUAACAUCUGAGGUGAUGUGUGUCCUAUUUGAACUGCCUAAGGGCUAUGACUGGAAUGGCUAGACACCUGAACGUUAUCAAUGCCUUUUCCCCUUGUACUUCAUGCCAUUUACAUAAUAAUUAAUAUUAGUCUGCAAGUAAUACCACUUUGAUGAUAUAUCUUCUUUUCCUGUAUGGAUGUCCAGUCAUUGCCCCUAACAAUCUGUAUUUACUCCGCAAGAGUAGCACCUAAUAUCUUCUUUUCAUGUAUGGGCUUGCAGGUCACCAACCAAUUCUUAAGUUUUGAACCAUGGGAAGGCCUUCAUGCAUGAGCUGCUGUAAGUAGAUGACGACUUUUGUUGAAAAGCUUGGUUCAUGUAGAGCUCGUAGUUAGCUCUGUAGGCCAUACCCUUUUGUUGGUGAUCUUAGCUCAUGGACCUGGAAAAGGCCUCAGAAUAGGCUAUGUGAGCAAGCCAUGUAUGCAUGCCCUGAUAUAUGAACUUGUUGCUUUGGACGUUUUUGUGUGAGAGUGCAUGCAUGUAUGCCUCCUGCUAUUUAUAACAUUCUUUGAAUUUUACUACUGUACUUUGUAGCAGAACAUUCAGUAACCAGCUGUAUCUGUAACAAUUGGCCAAGACAAGACUAUAUAUACGUCC
RNAcentral lists this long non-coding RNA (4481 nucleotides) under Triticum aestivum (bread wheat). RNAcentral describes it as "long non-coding RNA (TAES_LNC007918)". The record is from RNAcentral. Lineage: Eukaryota; Viridiplantae; Streptophyta; Magnoliopsida; Poales; Poaceae.